Molecule: ribosomal RNA, 322 nt
Filed under: uncultured Pseudomonas sp.
Lineage: Bacteria; Pseudomonadati; Pseudomonadota; Gammaproteobacteria; Pseudomonadales; Pseudomonadaceae
Description: bacterial SSU rRNA
Rfam family: Bacterial small subunit ribosomal RNA
Source: RNAcentral
CGUGUCGUGAGAUGUUGGGUUAAGGUCCGUAACGAGCGCAACCCUUGUCCUUAGUUACCAGCACGUUAUGGUGGGCACUCUAAGGAGACUGCCGGUGACAAACCGGAGGAAGGUGGGGAUGACGUCAAGUCAUCAUGGCCCUUACGGCCUGGGCUACACACGUGCUACAAUGGUCGGUACAAAGGGUUGCCAAGCCGCGAGGUGGAGCUAAUCCCAUAAAACCGAUCGUAGUCCGGAUCGCAGUCUGCAACUCGACUGCGUGAAGUCGGAAUCGCUAGUAAUCGUGAAUCAGAAUGUCACGGUGAAUACGUUCCCGGGCCUU